RNAcentral lists this long non-coding RNA (841 nucleotides) under Zostera marina. Its description in RNAcentral is "long non-coding RNA (ZMAR_LNC003756)". Lineage: Eukaryota; Viridiplantae; Streptophyta; Magnoliopsida; Alismatales; Zosteraceae. The record is from RNAcentral.
ACUACUGAAAUACUUCUCUUCCCCUUUCAUUCAUUAACCACACUAUUUAUAGCAGCCAAUCCUCAUUGUAUGCAGCCCUACGAUGGGUAACUGCCCACACACGUUGUAGGGUGAAAUAUCUUCAUAACACAUGUUCUCAUAGCAAAUAUCUUCAUAGAAAAUAUCUUAAUUAUAUAAUUGUUAUUUAAUAAAUAUCUUUUAUUCAAUUCCCUGGUAGUCCAGGGUCUACGAUGCAAAGUUCGUGGUCGAGGUCGUAUCAACCCCUUCCCUCUCAGGUCUGAGCUUAUCCUCGAGCUCGCUAAUAAAUUGCCACGGAUCCAAUUCAUCAUCACAGUCUUUGUUACGGUCUUUUGAUAGUAUCAUUUUUCCUGAAGAAUCUGACAUCAAAGAUAUAAAGAAAUUAAUAUUAGAAGAAAUACCAAUUAUUUUUGAAAACAAAAAACUAAAUGAAGAAGUAAUAUUUGGAGAAAAAGAAAGUUACUCAUCUGAAGAUCUGAGUGAAGAGGAAGAAUCUGAAGAAGCCGAGCAAGGAGAGAUUGGAGAGAGGUCUACCCAAGAACAAGAAGUCCAGACACGUGAAGAGGAAGGCAACAAGUGAGGAGGCUGAAGGCAAAGGAGAAAUAUUUAGGUCAAAAUCUAUCCGGACCAAAAGGGCCCAGCCCGUUACAAUAAUGACAGUAUUAUUCUAUGAUAAGAAAUAAUUAGUUUUUAAUUUCUGUUUUGGUCAUUUAAAAAAAAAAAUUAUUUUCAGUUAACAAGGCCAUUGUUAGGCCUUAGUAGAUACAUUACGAUGUAUAGCUAAAAGCUAUUGUUAGGCUUUAACAAUUAGUUUAAAUUUCAG